This 360-nucleotide ribosomal RNA is filed under the name Acinetobacter johnsonii. RNAcentral's name for it is "bacterial SSU rRNA". It matches the Rfam family "Bacterial small subunit ribosomal RNA", at positions 167 to 522 of the family's 1533-position model. Lineage: Bacteria; Pseudomonadati; Pseudomonadota; Gammaproteobacteria; Moraxellales; Moraxellaceae. The record is from RNAcentral.
UACCGCAUACGUCCUACGGGAGAAAGCAGGGGACCUUCGGGCCUUGCGCUAUCAGAUGAGCCUAGGUCGGAUUAGCUAGUUGGUGGGGUAAUGGCUCACCAAGGCGACGAUCCGUAACUGGUCUGAGAGGAUGAUCAGUCACACUGGAACUGAGACACGGUCCAGACUCCUACGGGAGGCAGCAGUGGGGAAUAUUGGACAAUGGGCGAAAGCCUGAUCCAGCCAUGCCGCGUGUGUGAAGAAGGUCUUCGGAUUGUAAAGCACUUUAAGUUGGGAGGUAGGGCAGUUACCUAAUACGUGAUUGUUUUGACGUUACCGACAGAAUAAGCACCGGCUAACUCUGUGCCAGCAGCCGCGGUA